This 45-nucleotide non-coding RNA is filed under the name Trichobilharzia regenti. Lineage: Eukaryota; Metazoa; Platyhelminthes; Trematoda; Strigeidida; Schistosomatidae. The record is from RNAcentral.
AUCCAUAUGACGAGUUUCAAAUAGGACGAAAUGCGCAUUUUGGGU